This is a long non-coding RNA of Mytilus californianus (California mussel), 837 nucleotides long. RefSeq lists it as uncharacterized. The record is from RefSeq and is a predicted model, not a curated record. Lineage: Eukaryota; Metazoa; Mollusca; Bivalvia; Mytilida; Mytilidae. The transcript is spliced from 2 exons.
UCGUUAGGAAUCAUCUUGAUACUCGCUGCUAUCAGUAUCAAAGUGAAGUUUUAUCAGAAGGUCGAAUUUUGUAUUGCAGUAGUAACCCCUUUGUAAAAGGAAGGAUGGAAUCUUGCUGUUUUGUUCAAACUUCAGAGCCCAUCAGUCAAACACAAGACAGUUGGAUAAUGCUGAUUUCUUUGCGUGACAUUUUCGUAGGAUGUUACUAGUAGCUAAGCUAAAUUGAAUGAGUUUGGGACAAUGGAAUUUUCUCUUUAUUUAAUCAAUGUUUGGCUAAUAGCAGGUAAAGUGACUGAAUUUUGAUACGAUGCAAUUAGUCACACCUGUGUCAAUAAGACAUUGCUGCUGAGGAAUUUAUAAAAAAAAUUGAAAAAAAUUAACUAGGAAAUUUCGGCGACUUAUUUACUACUUAAAGUACUUCAUUUUUGGUCGUAAACAUAUGGAGGUGGGAAAUUCCAAUUUUAUCAUUAGAAUUAAAUGCCAAUCUUCUUGAAAUAUGUACAAAUGAAAACUCCCCGAACUAGAUGACGUCGUGUCUUACUUUUUGUUGUCGCAACCUUUUCGGAAUGCUUGGAAAUUUCGUAAUGAUGGACAUACUAUAGUUGUCGUAAUAUUUAUCCGAACUGCGCCAGAAAGUAUAGUAGAGCCUUUGAGACCUGUAUCUCUAUCUGCAGUUAACUUAAAAUGCUCGCUAUAGUAGUAUCGUAUUUAAGGUAACCUCUAUAGAAGGUAACAUUUUACGUCAAUGAUUUUAUGUUUUAUUUGUAAAGGACUAAAAAGAUAUUCAUUCAACAAAAUUAUCAAAUCAGCUUAUGUUAAUAAACAGAUUCGGUUGCA